RNAcentral lists this unclassified non-coding RNA (439 nucleotides) under Hevea brasiliensis (rubber tree). The record is from RNAcentral. Lineage: Eukaryota; Viridiplantae; Streptophyta; Magnoliopsida; Malpighiales; Euphorbiaceae.
GGCUAUUCCACUUAUCACCAUUUUCUUCAUUUCUCAAUAAUCCCACUUUUAAGUUCUUUCCCAGUUACUAUUAACACAAAUAUUUAAGAAAAAUCUCAACUUUUUUGUUGAAUACUUGUAAUAAGCAGAAAUGGAUUUUGUGUACAAGAACCCAUCAGCUCUUAUUGAGGAAAGAGUAAAAGAUUUGUUGUCUCGGAUGACACUUGAAGAAAAAAUAGGCCAAAUGACUCAGAUCGAACGCAGUGUUGCUACCCCCUCUGUCAUUACUGACCUUUCUAUAGGGAGUAUACUCAGUGUUGGAGGCAGUGCGCCAUUUGAGGAUGCUCCAUCGGAAGCUUGGGCAGAUAUGGUUGACGGAUUUCAAAAGGCUGCGCUGGAAUCACGGCUUGGGAUUCCGCUUCUUUAUGGAGUUGACGCUAUUCAUGGCAAUAACAAUGUU